UACGUAGGGUGCGAGCGUUAAUCGGAAUUACUGGGCGUAAAGAGUGCGCAGGUGGCCGCGCAAGUCGAGUGUGAAAUCCCCGAGCUUAACUUGGGAAUUGCGCUCGAAACUACGUGGCUCGAGUGUGGCAGAGGAAGGUGGAAUUCCACGUGUAGCGGUGAAAUGCGUAGAGAUGUGGAGGAACACCGAUGGCGAAGGCAGCAUUCUGGGCCAACACUGACGCUCAUGCACGAAAGCGUGGGGAGCAAACAGG
Molecule: ribosomal RNA, 253 nt
Filed under: uncultured bacterium
Lineage: Bacteria
Description: partial 16S ribosomal RNA
Rfam family: Bacterial small subunit ribosomal RNA
Source: RNAcentral